GUGUCAGCAGCCGCGGUAAUACGUAGGGUGCGAGCGUUAAUCGGAAUUACUGGGCGUAAAGCGUGCGCAGGCGGUUGUGUAAGACAGGUGUGAAAUCCCCGGGCUUAACCUGGGAACUGCGCUUGUGACUGCACGGCUAGAGUACGGCAGAGGGGGGUGGAAUUCCACGUGUAGCAGUGAAAUGCGUAGAUAUGUGGAGGAACACCGAUGGCGAAGGCAGCCCCCUGGGCCGAUACUGACGCUCAUGCACGAAAGCGUGGGGAGCAAACAGGAUUAGAAACCCUAGUAGUCC
This 292-nucleotide ribosomal RNA is filed under the name uncultured bacterium. RNAcentral describes it as "partial 16S ribosomal RNA". It matches the Rfam family "Bacterial small subunit ribosomal RNA", at positions 505 to 796 of the family's 1533-position model. The record is from RNAcentral.